Long non-coding RNA from Brassica napus (rape), 1374 nucleotides. RefSeq lists it as uncharacterized. The transcript is spliced from 3 exons. The record is from RefSeq and is a predicted model, not a curated record. NCBI's taxonomy places the organism in Eukaryota, Viridiplantae, Streptophyta, Magnoliopsida, Brassicales, Brassicaceae.
CUUAAAAAGUCUAUUUGAAAGAAUUGCCCUAAUAUAUUUUCUUAAAUCAUUUUUCUAAAGAAAAUUAUAAUCACAAUUUCAUUAAUGAAAAUGAAAUUAAGAUUAUGAUUUGGGCUGAUGUAUACCGUUAUUUGGGCUCAAAAAAAUUGUUUGAUGUGUCAAAAACCCCAUUAGGUAUCUGUUUCUUUUUUUUCCGGGAAAAAAACAAACAGUUUUGUGUCACCGACGAAAGGAAACAAACUUAUUUUUCGAUAAAAACAAAGCUAAGAUCCAGACCACAUGUUCUUAUGUUUCUGGAUCAAAACUAAGAAUAUGUAUGCAGAUCAACGGGAGCACGGGUCAAGCUAAGAAGCUUACUAUAGAAGAUCUGUUUAUGAGAACUCAUGCCCUAACACACCGGCUUUGGAGGAGAAGACGAACAGAGAACAUCGAAGAGGAUUUGAGAUAGUCGGAGUCUACAUGGAAAGUAUUUUUCUUAAUUAUUCAAUUACUUAUAGAAUUUGGUAGCUGUAUAGUCAUGUGGUGAUGAUGUUUGUUGUCAAAUUUCAUUUUGUGUGUUUGCUAAUUCAGCUAUUGGAGCGCUUUAGAACUGUUCAUCCGCGGGCACGCAGAUAAUUUACUGAUUUUAGUUAUUUAUUUCUUCAGUUGCUUUGUGUGUAUAUUAAUUGGAAUUGGUAUAUCAGCUUCUCCAGAAGUGCUGCAAACAUAGAAGCAGUUUAUUGGAGCUGUAGUGGAGUUGAUAGAUCGAGAAUAAUUAUUAGAGGAGUUUGAUGAGGUUGCUUUUACAGAGCAUCGUGUCUUUGGCAAGCCAGUGGAGGAGGAAGACAAUUAUUUUCAUGGGAAGAGCACUGUUGAAAAGAAGUAAGUACGGCUGGUUUUAAUAUGUGUAUUUACUUAUUUAUCAGAGUUUCAGAGAUUACUCCAUGAAAAUGGACAACAAAUUUGUAUUUUUCUAGUGUGUUGAGCGGUUGUUGUUUUUUGUUUACAAUGAGAAAAUGUGGGCGAAGGAACAACCACAAGCUGAGCAGAACGAAGUUACUCUCCCACCCUGAGCAGAGAAAGUAAACAACAACUUAGGAUUAUGGUAACAAAUUAGAAAGGCAUCUGACGGAAAUUAGGAGGAAAGAUAACAGAGCUAAAAGAUAUCUACCUUGGAGAAAAAAAAAGAAGUGGAAAAAAAUCUUCCUAUGAAUAAUUACGUAAUAUAUGGGACUGAUUUCUAUAUAUUGCUAAGAUUGCAUGCGAGAUUUUAGGUUGUAGCGUCUUUUUUAAAAAUUAAUUGAAUUAAUUAAACCAGAUGGUUUAGAAGAUUAACGGGACAGGAUAAGAAACAUUGGUUAAAGCCUUAUGUUAAUGAAAUUACUAAAAGACCAA